This is a non-coding RNA of Podospora fimiseda, 87 nucleotides long. The record is from the annotation of a GenBank genome assembly. Lineage: Eukaryota; Fungi; Ascomycota; Sordariomycetes; Sordariales; Podosporaceae.
GGUUGUGUAGUGUAGUGGUUAUCACUUCAGAUUUUGAUUUCUAUCAAUCAUAUUCUGAUAACCCCGGUUCGAACCCGGGCACGACCU